Small nucleolar RNA from Dendrobium catenatum, 132 nucleotides. RefSeq annotates it as small nucleolar RNA snoR137. The transcript has a single exon. Lineage: Eukaryota; Viridiplantae; Streptophyta; Magnoliopsida; Asparagales; Orchidaceae. The record is from RefSeq and is a predicted model, not a curated record.
GUUGCUCCUCUACUUCAGGAUGAUGCUCUUGUAUAUAUCAUUCACAGUGGGGAAGCAUAUAAAAUAUUUUGGCCAGUAUUAAACAGCAUAAUGUUAUUACUUACAUUGUGUUACCUGUCUCCUGGGACAUAA